GCCGGGCGUGGUGGUGUGCGCCUGUAAUCCCAGCUACUCAGGAGGCUGAGGCAGGAGAAUCGCUUGAACCUGGGAGGUGGAGGCUGCAGUGAGCCGAGAGGGUGCCACUGCACUCCAGCCUGGGUGACAGAGUGAGAUUCUGUCUCAA
RNAcentral lists this signal recognition particle RNA (148 nucleotides) under Nomascus leucogenys (northern white-cheeked gibbon). RNAcentral's name for it is "Metazoan signal recognition particle RNA". It matches the Rfam family "Metazoan signal recognition particle RNA". From Rfam's summary of the family: The signal recognition particle (SRP) is a universally conserved ribonucleoprotein. It is involved in the co-translational targeting of proteins to membranes. The record is from Rfam by way of RNAcentral. Lineage: Eukaryota; Metazoa; Chordata; Mammalia; Primates; Hylobatidae.